CGCCAUGUAAACUGUGUUCGUGUCUGUGAUGAUGCUUGAGCCUUGGAGACUAUUUGUCUACCUGGGGCGAACAGCAAGGCGAGGAACCGUGGAGCACAUACUGAGCCGGUGCCCAAAGGCCUUGAAAGAAGACUGCUAAUGCUGGUGACAUGAGAAGAUGCUGAGGCAGAGCGGAUCAUAUCAACCAUCAACAGCAGCAAGCACCUCCGCCCACCUAGGAAGCAUAUUUCUUUCUCAAGAGCAGCCCCAACAACAGUCCAGGGCGCCAAUAGGCCUACUCACUACAGAGACUGUCAGCUGCUUGUGGACGUGGGCAGACAGCUUAAGUUCCCUGACACCAUUACACCAAUAUCACUAUGUCCUGAUGUUGUCCAACUGUCAGAAGACUCAAAGCAGAUGAUCAUGUUUAAACUGACUGUGACAUGGGAAGAGUGGAUCAAGAAGGCCCAUGAGAGGAAGAGGGCCAAAUAUCAGUAGCUGGAUGAGCAGUGUUGAAAGCAGAGAUGGAGAGUUUGCUACAUACUCACAGAAGUGGGAUGUAGAGGCAUUACUGACUGUUCUCUUUGCAGAGCAUGUGCAAUGCUGGGCAUCACAGAGGCUACUGAAAGAGCCUCCACAUGGCUAUGAUCUGUGGGUAUCAAACCUCAAUAGGAUUCAGGAAGCGACCGGAAAUGUGGGUAUCAAAGACGGUCAAGUACCGUAUGUGAUCAUCAAAUGUUUUUUGGGUCUUGUUUACAUAUUCCAUUGAUCAGACAUUUCUCAAUUCAACGUCAUCAUUUUGCCAUUUUUAUAUUGUAUUAUUGUGUUAAACUUCUUACAUGUGUCAGAAGAACUCCAUUGCUGUUUUGUGGAUUUUUCAAUUUUUUUUAUGUAAAAAAGAUUUGAAACAAGAAAUAAUCCAAGGCACUGCUGAGUGUAAAGCCUUUAACGUUACAUGACAGGGUGUUGGCUCAACACGGCAAUGAAUACUUUUAGCUGAAACCUGAUGAAAUAUUAAAGGUUUUUCAUUAUACUCA
Molecule: long non-coding RNA, 1016 nt
Organism: Cottoperca gobio
Lineage: Eukaryota; Metazoa; Chordata; Actinopteri; Perciformes; Bovichtidae
Exons: 2
Source: RefSeq, a predicted model, not a curated record